GCGAACGGACGAGAAGCUUGCUUCUCUGAUGUUAGCGGCGGACGGGUGAGUAACACGUGGAUAACCUACCUAUAAGACUGGGAUAACUUCGGGAAACCGGAGCUAAUACCGGAUAAUAUUUUGAACCGCAUGGUUCAAAAGUGAAAGACGGUCUUGCUGUCACUUAUAGAUGGAUCCGCGCUGCAUUAGCUAGUUGGUAAGGUAACGGCUCACCAAGGCAACGAUGCAUAGCCGACCUGAGAGGGUGAUCGGCCACACUGGAACUGAGACACGGUCCAGACUCCUACGGGAGGCAGCAGUAGGGAAUCUUCCGCAAUGGGCGAAAGCCUGACGGAGCAACGCCGCGUGAGUGAUGAAGGUCUUCGGAUCGUAAAACUCUGUUAUUAGGGAAGAACAUAUGUGUAAGUAACUGUGCACAUCUUGACGGUACCUAAUCAGAAAACCACGGCUAACUACGUGCCAGCAGCCGCGGUAAUACGUAGGUGGCAAGCGUUAUCCGGAAUUAUUGGGCGUAAAGCGCGCGUAGGCGGUUUUUAAAGUCUGAUGUGAAAGCCCACGGGCUCAACCGUGGAGGGUCAUUGGAAACUGGAAAACUUGAGGUGCAGAAGAGGAAAGUGGAAUUGCCAUGUGUACGGUGAAAUGCGCAGAGAUAUGGAGGGAACACCAGUGGCGAAGGCGACUUUCUGGUCUGUAACUGACGCUGAUGUGCGAAAGCGUGGGGAUCAAACAGGAU
RNAcentral lists this ribosomal RNA (733 nucleotides) under uncultured Staphylococcus sp. Its description in RNAcentral is "bacterial SSU rRNA". It matches the Rfam family "Bacterial small subunit ribosomal RNA", at positions 66 to 778 of the family's 1533-position model. Lineage: Bacteria; Bacillati; Bacillota; Bacilli; Caryophanales; Staphylococcaceae. The record is from RNAcentral.